This 253-nucleotide ribosomal RNA is filed under the name Parabacteroides distasonis. RNAcentral describes it as "partial 16S ribosomal RNA". It matches the Rfam family "Bacterial small subunit ribosomal RNA", at positions 524 to 776 of the family's 1533-position model. Lineage: Bacteria; Pseudomonadati; Bacteroidota; Bacteroidia; Bacteroidales; Tannerellaceae. The record is from RNAcentral.
UACGGAGGAUUCGAGCGUUAUCCGGAUUUAUUGGGUUUAAAGGGUGCGUAGGCGGCCUUUUAAGUCAGCGGUGAAAGUCUGUGGCUCAACCAUAGAAUUGCCGUUGAAACUGGGGGGCUUGAGUAUGUUUGAGGCAGGCGGAAUGCGUGGUGUAGCGGUGAAAUGCUUAGAUAUCACGCAGAACCCCGAUUGCGAAGGCAGCCUGCCAAGCCAUGACUGACGCUGAUGCACGAAAGCGUGGGGAUCAAACAGG